CCCUUAGACGUUCUGGGCCGCACGCGCGCUACACUGACGAAGGCAACGAGCUUUCCUUUACCGAAAGGUACGGGUAAUCUUUUGAAACUUCGUCGUGCUGGAGAUAGAUCCUUGCAAUUUUUGAUCUUAAACGAGGAAUGCCUAGUAAGCGCAAGUCAUCAACUUGCGUUGAUUACGUCCCUGCCCUUUGUACACACCGCCCGUCGCUACUACCGAUUGAAUGGUUUAGUGAGGCCUUCGGAUCCGCGACUCGUUUGUGGAGAAGUUGGACAAACUCAGUCAUUUAGAGGAAGUAAAAGUCGUAACA
This 307-nucleotide ribosomal RNA is filed under the name uncultured eukaryote. RNAcentral's name for it is "partial 18S ribosomal RNA". It matches the Rfam family "Eukaryotic small subunit ribosomal RNA", at positions 1470 to 1796 of the family's 1831-position model. The record is from RNAcentral.